GCUUGUCUCAAAGAUUAAGCCAUGCAUGUCUAAGUAUAAAUAGUAUACAGUGAAACUGCGAAUGGCUCAUUAAAACAGUUAUAGUUUAUUUGAUAAUUGAAAAUUACAUGGAUAACCGUGGUAAUUCUAGAGCUAAUACAUGCUAUCAAGCCCGACUUCUUGAAGGGUUGUAUUUAUUAGACUUAAGCCAAUAUUCCUUGUGUCUAUUGCGAUGAUUCAUAAUAACUGAUCGAAUCUCAAAUUUGAGAUAAAUCAUUCAAGUUUCUGCCCUAUCAACUGUCGACUGUGAUAUAGACGCUCACAGUGGUUUUGACGGGUAACGGGGAAUCAGGGUUCGAUUCCGGAGAGGGAGCCUUAAAAACGGCUACCACAUCCAAGGAAGGCAGCAGG
RNAcentral lists this ribosomal RNA (390 nucleotides) under uncultured Scuticociliatia. RNAcentral's name for it is "partial small subunit ribosomal RNA". It matches the Rfam family "Eukaryotic small subunit ribosomal RNA", at positions 30 to 432 of the family's 1831-position model. The record is from RNAcentral. Lineage: Eukaryota; Ciliophora; Oligohymenophorea.